This 56-nucleotide ribosomal RNA is filed under the name ascomycete sp. ZGZII04091. RNAcentral's name for it is "partial 28S ribosomal RNA". The record is from RNAcentral. Lineage: Eukaryota; Fungi; Ascomycota.
UUGACCUCGGAUCAGGUAGGGAUACCCGCUGAACUUAAGCAUAUCAAUAAGGGGAU